Molecule: ribosomal RNA, 834 nt
Filed under: uncultured bacterium
Lineage: Bacteria
Description: bacterial SSU rRNA
Rfam family: Bacterial small subunit ribosomal RNA
Source: RNAcentral
GUCGAACGGGGAUGCUUAUGGAAGGAGUGCUUGCACUUUGGAAAUGAGCAUCUUAGUGGCGGACGGGUGAGUAACGCGUGGGUAACCUGCCCCAUACCGGGGGAUACCACCUGGAAACAGGUGCUAAUACCGCAUAAGCACACGGGAGCGCAUGCUCCUGUGUGAAAAACUCCGGUGGUAUGGGAUGGACCCGCGUCUGAUUAGCCAGUUGGCAGGGUAACGGCCUACCAAAGCGACGAUCAGUGGCCGGCCUGAGAGGGUGGACGGCCACAUUGGGACUGAGACACGGCCCAAACUCCUACGGGAGGCAGCAGUGGGGAAUAUUGCACAAUGGGGGAAACCCUGAUGCAGCGACGCCGCGUGAGUGAAGAAGUAUUUCGGUAUGUAAAGCUCUAUCAGCAGGAACGAGACAAGACGGUACCUGACUAAGAAGCCCCGGCUAACUACGUGCCAGCAGCCGCGGUAAUACGUAGGGGGCAAGCGUUAUCCGGAAUCACUGGGUGUAAAGGGAGCGUAGACGGCUGAGCAAGCCUGAAGUGAAAGGCGGGGGCCCAACCCCCGGACUGCUUUGGGAACUGUACGGCUGGAGUGCAGGAGAGGUAAGUGGAAUUCCUAGUGUAGCGGUGAAAUGCGUAGAUAUUAGGAGGAACACCAGUGGCGAAGGCGGCUUACUGGACUGUAACUGACGUUGAGGCUCGAAAGCGUGGGGAGCAAACAGGAUUAGAUACCCUGGUAGUCCACGCCGUAAACGAUGAUUACUAGGUGUCGGGGGGCAGAGGCCCUUCGGUGCCGCAGCAAACGCAAUAAGUAAUCCACCUGGGGAGUACGUCCGCA